RNAcentral lists this ribosomal RNA (373 nucleotides) under uncultured bacterium. RNAcentral describes it as "bacterial SSU rRNA". It matches the Rfam family "Bacterial small subunit ribosomal RNA", at positions 521 to 896 of the family's 1533-position model. The record is from RNAcentral.
UAAUACGGAGGGUGCAAGCGUUAUCCGGAUUCACUGGGUUUAAAGGGUGCGUAGGUGGGUUGGUAAGUCAGUGGUGAAAUCUCCGAGCUUAACUUGGAAACUGCCAUUGAUACUAUCAGUCUUGAAUAUUGUGGAGGUCAGCGGAAUAUGUCAUGUAGCGGUGAAAUGCUUAGAUAUGACAUAGAACACCAAUUGCGAAGGCAGCUGGCUACUCAUAUAUUGACACUGAGGCACGAAAGCGUGGGGAUCAAACAGGAUUAGAUACCCUGGUAGUCCACGCCCUAAACUAUGGAUACUCGACAUACGCGAUACACAGUGUGUGUCUGAGCGAAAGCAUUAAGUAUCCCACCUGGGAAGUACGAUCGCAAGAUUG